CGUCAGUAGAGUUGAUCUCGGCUCAGGCAAGCUGGCGGCGUGCUUACACAUGCAAGUCGAACGAUGAUGCCCAGCUUGCUGGGUGGAUUAGUGGCGAACGGGUGAGUAACACGUGAGUAACCUGCCCCUGACUCUGGGAUAAGCGUUGGAAACGACGUCUAAUACUGGAUAUGAUCACUGGCCGCAUGGUCUGGUGGUGGAAAGAUUUUUUGGUUGGGGAUGGACUCGCGGCCUAUCAGCUUGUUGGUGAGGUAAUGGCUCACCAAGGCGACGACGGGUAGCCGGCCUGAGAGGGUGACCGGCCACACUGGGACUGAGACGCGGCCCAGACUCCUACGGGAGGCAGCAGUGGGGAAUAUUGCACAAUGGGCGAAAGCCUGAUGCAGCAACGCCGCGUGAGGGAUGACGGCCUUCGGGUUGUAAACCUCUUUUAGUAGGGAAGAAGCGAAAGUGACGGUACCUGCAGAAAAAGCACCGGCUAACUACGUG
RNAcentral lists this ribosomal RNA (489 nucleotides) under uncultured Curtobacterium sp. RNAcentral describes it as "bacterial SSU rRNA". It matches the Rfam family "Bacterial small subunit ribosomal RNA", at positions 1 to 507 of the family's 1533-position model. Lineage: Bacteria; Bacillati; Actinomycetota; Actinomycetes; Micrococcales; Microbacteriaceae. The record is from RNAcentral.